Molecule: ribosomal RNA, 1318 nt
Filed under: metagenome
Description: SSU rRNA
Rfam family: Eukaryotic small subunit ribosomal RNA
Source: RNAcentral
UCUACGAUCGGAAUGAGUACAAUUCAAAAACAUUAGCGAGUAACAAUUGGAGGGCAAGUCUGGUGCCAGCAGCCCGUAAUUCCAGCUCCAAUAGUGUAUAUUAAAGUUGUUGCGGUUAAAAAGCUCGCAGUUGGACUUUGGGGUCGAGCGUUACAGACCCUCUCGGUUCUGCCGGGGGGAAUCAGUCUGGAUGUUUCUUCCUCUUUCUCGGAACGUUAACAGGGGUUCAUGGUUUCCAUGUUCUCUUGGUUUCGCAGGAUUUACUUUGAAUAAAUUAGGGUGUUCAAAGCAGGCGCAACUCGCCUUAAAUACAUUAGCAUGGGAUAAUAGAAUAUGACCUUUGGUCUACUUAUUGGUUUCUAAGGCCAAGGUAAUGAUUAAUAGGGAUAGUUGAGGUCGCUCGUAUUCAAUGGUCAGAGGUGAAAUUCUAAGACCCAUUGAGGACGAACAAAUGCGAAGGCAUUCGACAAGGAUGUUUUCAUUAAUCAAGAACGAAAGUUGUGGGAUCGAAGAUGAUUAGAUACCGUCGUAGUCACAACCGUAAACUAUGUCGACUCAGGAUCCGGGGAUGUUACAUGGAUGACUCUCCGGGCACUGUGUGCGAAAGCAUAAGUAUUCUGACUCCGGGGGGAGUAUGGUCGCAAGGCUGAAACUUAAAGGAAUUGACGGAAGGGCACCACCAGGAGUGGAACCUGCGGCUUAAUUUGACUCAACACGGGGAAACUUACCCAGUCCGGACACAACGAGGAUUGACAGAUUGAUAGCUCUUUCUUGAUUUUGUGGAAGCCGGUGCAUGGCCGUUUUUAGUUGGUGGAGUGAUUUGUCUGGUUUAGUCCGAUAACGAACGAGACCAUAAUCUGCUAAAUAGUGUCGUUAACAAGGAGACUUACGGGGCGGUCGGGUUUACUCGGCAGUUUCGUGGGUUUCCACUAAAUUGUUGGCGAAAGAUUUACUUCUUAGAGGGACUCUUGAUGAUGCAAAAAUCAAUGGAAGAAUAUGGCAAAAACAGGUCUGUGAUGCCGCUCGAUGUCUGGGGCUGCACGCGCGUUACACUGAGAUGUUCAACAAGUAUUAUUCAUGACCUGGCCCGAAGGGGUUCAGGUAAUCUCGAAAGCAUUUCGUGAUGGGGAUUGUGCCUUGAAACUAUUGCACAUGAACGAGGAAUUCCUAGUAAGGGUAGGUCAUCAACCUGCCCUGAUUACGUCCCUGCCCUUUGUACACACCGCCCGUCGCUUCUACCGAUCGAAUUGCUCGAUGAGGACUCGGGAUGAGGGGGUAACUCGUAGGCUGAAAGGUCUGCGCGUCCUCUUCAGAACCU